AAAUGACUUUAGGGCAUUGUAUUGGAAUCUUAUGUGCCAUACCAGCUCAAAGCAGUGCAUAAUUGUGAAAGGGAAUAAAAGUGAUAUGUCCAUUUUUAUUCAGUCCCUCCUAAGCAUGGCUUUUAGGUUAUUUGUUUACUUUUUCCCCAUUUUUCUUGGCAAAAUAGCUCAAGAUCAGUAAGAUUGGAUGGAGAGUGUCUGUCCACCUCAAAACUGUGUGUCAAUUCAAAGUACCCUACAGCCUUUGUAGCAUUGUAGGAAGGUGCAACGUUAAUCUUCCUUCAUUAAUAGUGUUUUGCAUGUAGGUCACAUGUUUUGAUCUCAAGAGUAAUGAACUUUCUUACAUACCAACACACAUGGAUUACAUUGACAUAUUCAUGGUUGAGACAAGUAAAAAAAAUUUCAUCUGUGUAGUCGUCCCAUACAUAGGGUGCAAGGCAAAAUUCCCUUUGGAAUCAGGUGCUUUUAUAUGCAGAAGAGUCCCGUCAUUGAAACCUUAGAGUCAAGCUAGAAAGGGAUAACAGUCUCUUCCCUUUGACAGUAGAGUUACUGAGCAUCCCUGGUAAGCAGAGACAGGAGCUGAAACUUGAUCAGUUCUGUGGCCUUUUUGGGGAAAUAACUGUGAGACCAGAGCUUGUUAUCCUCCUUAGUGCACCCUGUGGAUUUGGCUCUUACAAUAUAUGAAUGAAGAAUGCAUGAAGAAUUGUCUGUAGUUGCAGAAUUAAACACCUGUUGCACAAAAUUAUCCUACAAUUAGUGAAUCCUGCAUAGACUCACACAUUUUUGAUACCAAAGUAAUUUAGGUCAGUCAGGAGAAUAAGCUGUGACUGAAUGAUUUUCUGCUUCUUGUCAUUACCAUCCUAACCAUGUUUGGCUGCCUUCCAUCUCAUUUGUUCACCAUGUUGUCUGACUAACACAAAUUGGUAACAGCAGAGAUCUUUAGAAGAAUAAGAACUAUUUGAAACCACAAGCUAACCUCUAGGUCAUUAAAAUGUAUUUUUAUUUUGACUAGGUGGAGCAUCAGUGUCUCACUGUUUUAGAAUUGCCUUUUAAAAGUGGUCACACUCCUUGAUAUAGAAAGGACAGCAUUUUAUGUAAUUUAUUGGCAUUAUAUGGUACAAAUCAACACAAAGUGAUGAAUGUUUAUGAAUGGAUGGAAAAAUGCAUGCUUUAUAAAAUUGUUUACAAAUAAAAAUCUUAAAAUAAUUAUGCAUGUUUGUUUUCAUGUCCAUAUUUAGCUGCAAGUGUUUUGGGCAUAUCUCAGCCAGCUUUGCAUUGUGCUUUUCAAAAUAAUAGAAUCUUAUGUCUGAUGGGAUUGAACAUUUGUUAACAGCAAUUUCCAGCUCUUCCUGUUUAUUCUCAAAUGGACAUUGGCCUGGGCUUUGACUGACUAUUCUAGCACAUGGAUAUGCUAUAAUUUAAACUGUUUCCUUAAAGCUCUGGUUUAAGGAAACAGAGCUUAAGCUUAAGAUGAGAAGAUGCGUCUGUUCAUCCUUCAUCUUCUCAUCUUAAAGCCAGUCAAGCCCACAAGUAUAUUCUAGCAUCUUAAUCCUGCUGGAUGGUGAACCAUGCCUCAUUUGAUUUGCAGACUCUAACAUGAUUUCUUCCAGAAUAUAAUAUACUAGCAUCCUUUUUCAUUUAUUGUGUGGAUUUUUUGCAGCUUUCUGCUCAACAUAAUAUGCAUGUAGACCAAAAAUCUCCAGUUUGGUGUCACCAGACCAAAACAGACUCUUACAGUUCUGUCUUUCUUCUCGCCAGUCGUCAUUUACGAUUUCCCUUUUGAGAAAUUCUUCCAGCUGAACUGUAGAUCUCUGCAGCUUCUUCCAAACAGCUUUUCUCGUUAAUGCUGUCCUUGUUCAGCUCGUCAUUUUAAGAAGAUGACCUUGGGUUUGCAGUUCAGUGACACACUCUGGGGACUGAAUGAGAUUCUUGGCAGGAUACACUGUGGAGCAUCAGGACAUUUAGUUUUCUUGUGUAAAAGCAAUGAGAGGUAAAGAAACAAAAUGUGUCUGACUCUUUAAUAUAUUCUGAAUGCUACUUGUGUUUUCAUGAGAUUUGACACCAAACACUCCCAGUUCAGCACUGACUCAACAUUAGAACUUGACCUCUUACCCCAACACCAAACACAACAGCAGCUUGUUUCACCUCAUGACGGGAAUAUGUGGGAGAUGCUGCUGUCACUUCAAUAAAAGUCCAAGGAGGGGAGCUCACUUACUUCAUGGCCUUUUUUCGACUGCUUGUAAAAAUCAGCCGAUAUUUAAAAAGGGAGCAGACGCUGUAAUUUGCUGUUUCUGCGAGAGCCGGUGUUAUGCCUUCGGAGGGGACAGCGGUUGUCAUUGGCGCUGCUCCGUGCUCUCAUUUAGAUUUAGGCGCCAUGACAUAAAAAGAAAAAACACCGGGUUUUUUUUCCCACAGCAAACGUCACCCACAAUUGUGCUAUAAUGAGUGCACACAAGCCCUCCUUGAUGCUGUGGUUAUUGUUUUUAGUUUUUAGUCACACUCAUAGUCAUAACUUCCCUGAAGCUAUUCCAUGUCUUUAAUAAGACUUUCCUUUAAUAGGAAAUUGUCUGCGGUUACUCUCUUGCCUCGUAUAAAUGUAUAGGACUUAGAUUACUUUAACUUAUUUGUUACACUUUGAUAGUUCUUUUUGUCAUAGAGGUAUGACCACAAUAUACCAGAUGAGUUUGUUUGUUGUUACAGUUUGUGGAUCUUACAGUGAACCUCAGGGAAUUACAAAUCUCUGUACUUAUGAGGUUCAGUAAUCUGGUUGCACCUCUGCUAAGUUGUCUUUUGUAGGAGUCCUUUUCAAAAGUGGUUCAACUCGAUGAGGUUAUUAGGACAUGUUUUGCUCACAAGCUUCUAUGUUUCCUCAGUAUGUUGUCAUGUGUUGCAGAACCUGUUAAUCACUCAUUCAGGUGGAUGGCAGUAGGGAAAUACUGCCAUCCACCUGAGUUGCCAGAGUUGCCAGAGUUGCCAGAGUUGGAUGCCACUGGUCUACAGGAUAUGCCCCCCAGUAAAUGUGGAAAAUGUUUUGAAAUAUUUGGUCAUGUAGUCAGCUUUUACAUUAUACUCUGGCACAUUAUACUCACAUGGGCGUGAACAAAUUUCCGAGCAACUCUUGCCCAGGAAAGUAUGGAAAGUGUAGGGUGCAUAGUGGUGGUGUAUUUUCACCACCACUGUGCAUAUAUGAUGACAUGUAAGAUACAUCUCACUAUAAUUCCUUUUUAUACAGAGAUCAGAGCACAUCCCGAUCCAGAAACAGGUUUUCCUUGGUCAGAUUAUAAGGAUACAUGGUUGUUAAUAAAAUCAGCUUCUCCCAUUCCUUUAAACUCCUUAUUCUAUUCUCUGAUUUAGUUAUUUUUUCCCCGUCAAUUUACAGCACCGGUAGUGUCCUUACAUAAGUCAUUAUUACAUUGAAAAAGUAUUUAAAAAAUCAUCCCAUUUCUGGUGUCAGGUUAGCUCUUGGUGUAGUUAUCUCAUUUUCUUUUAAUUUUUCAUUUUCUUUGCCCACAAACCAUUAGUGCUGUGAUUAGCAUGUUGAAUUCUCCUUAGAUGACACAUGCAGAUGGCUUGUUGAGUAUUCCUGUCACUCAAAUAUUCAGAUACACAAAAAAAUAAAGGCCAUUAUAUUUGUUUUGUUCUUGAUGCUCGCAUUCUUUCAAGUAUGAUAACCUGAUUGCAUCUCGUUGCAGCAUAUGGUUUGCAGCAGAUUCUUUGCUCCGUUUUACACAUGAAUGAAAUGCUGCCUUCAGACGCCGAUGAUUUUGUUUAUUAGCCUUCCCUCUCAGACCUCCCAGCUGGCUGCCGGUUUCAUUCCAACAUUCAAAACUACACUUGAGUUCUUCACAAUUUAUAAAAAUGCUCCACAAACUCUUUACUAAUUAUUCUACCCUUGACUCAGCCCCAGAAAUAUUUCUGUGAAUUUUCUUUCAGCUUCCUCCAGUUUAAGUCUCAAGCAAGAAUGAAAAUAGAGUGGGCUGGCGGUUUUCAGUACAGAAUGCGUCUGUUCAUCCUUCAUCUUCUCAUCUUGCAGCCAGUCAAGCCCACAAGUAUAUUCUAGCAAUUUUGGUUCUUUAGCAUUUCCUGACAAAAGUUCUGUGAACAACAAAGACGAUUUUGUCUGUGUGGGUUUAUUAGCUUGUGGGAGCCCCUGUCUCUGACCCCUGAGGUAUGUUAGAAGCAUUUCCAAGUCAGAACAGAAACUGACUCAGGAUUACUGUUCUCAAGAGCCCUGAAAAGCCAGUUGUCUGUUCUGCAGAAGAGAACAGGACUCUGGCUGUGUGCACCUUUCAAAUCAAGCAUGUUGUGGUUUCUCUAAACCGCUUUCUAUCUUUUCUCAACUCACACAGCAGUUGUGGGGCAAAAUAAAAGACCCCUAACCUUUACCCUUCAUUUAUGUUUUUGUCCGGCUCUUGUAAAAUGUUUUAAACCUAUAAAUUCCUCUUUCAUUGCAUAAUUAAGCACUGUUAGUCUAUCACACAAAAUCCCAAUAAACUGCACUGUUUAUAACGUGAAAAAUUCAAACCAUGAAUACUUUUCCAUGGCUCCACAUAUAAUGAACAUUCUAUCAUUCAUUCUAUAAAUUGUUUCCUUUAUAUGUCUGAAAUGUUUUGCUUUCAUUGUAUUUAUCAUCAGAUGUACAUGUCUGCUAGUAAACUUGCUCAAACUGCAUCUCUUUUCUUAACAUUUUGAUGUAAUUGUGUUUUUCUCAAAUUGAGAUGAGUUACUAAAACUGGAAACUGACAGAUUUUGCGUCAGCAGGCCUGGCAACCAGUGAGACAUCAGACAGAAACCAGUGGCAUGCCUAGCUGACCAGAGGACAAAAUCAUGUGACAAAAGAGAUGCCAAGAAAUACUAAAUCAUGUAUGUAAGAAAUUGCUAACAAAUGUUGCUGUCAAACAACACUUGGUGGGGAAUCAGCAGAGCUGUGAGAAGGUCCAAUGUUAACAGCCUCAACAAGCCUCCUUUUUACUGACAAAUAGCAUGUUCUUCUUCACAUUUAUCAAACUUGCUUUAUGAUUUACUACUGUACUACUGUGUUUGAUAUCCACCAGGUUCUCUAAAAAGCACCUUAAAAUCUCUAAAGGCAUUUUUGUUGUUUAAAAAAGUUCAUUGUAGCAUAUUUAUUAAAAAGACUGUUUUUGAUAUUUGCCAGGAAUAUGU
Xiphophorus couchianus (Monterrey platyfish) is the source of this 5163-nucleotide long non-coding RNA. RefSeq lists it as uncharacterized. The record is from RefSeq and is a predicted model, not a curated record. Lineage: Eukaryota; Metazoa; Chordata; Actinopteri; Cyprinodontiformes; Poeciliidae. The transcript is spliced from 2 exons.